UACAGGGGGGGUAAGCGUUGUUCGGAAUUACUGGGCGUAAAGGGUCUGUAGGUGGCCAACUAAGUCAGACGUGAAAUCCCUCAGCUUAACUGGGGAACUGCGUCUGAUACUGGAUGGCUCGAGUGUGGGAGAGGAAUGCGGAAUUCUAGGUGUAGCGGUGAAAUGCGUAGAUAUCUGGAGGAACACCGGUGGCGAAGGCGGCAUUCUGGACCACAACUGACACUGAGAGACGAAAGCCAGGGGAGCAAACGGG
Molecule: ribosomal RNA, 253 nt
Filed under: uncultured bacterium
Lineage: Bacteria
Description: partial 16S ribosomal RNA
Rfam family: Bacterial small subunit ribosomal RNA
Source: RNAcentral